CCGGGAAGCCCCCCGUGCCAUAUACCCCACCCCCAUUUUAGCGCCCUCCACUCACUUUAGGGAAAUUUCAACCAUGAGAAAGGAGGUCCUGCCCUUGCCCCUCGUCCCCCUCCUCCUCCCUCCAACAGGGGAGAUUCUUCUUCCAUAGGAGCCUUGGAAGGAAACAAGAUGCCAGGCCUAGCGCGUUUGGGAAUCCUCUCUGGACAAGGCCACAGAGUGAAAACAUCAGGUGAGAACUUCACUGCCCGCGGGGCUACCCCGGGUCUCUGGAGACCCGUGCCCCCCUCCAGCUUCCUGCCUUAGCCUUUUUGUCCCGGGCUUAGCCUGGGGUUGGUUUAAGAUCUUAGCUGGAAGGCCCCUGAUCAGUUUCUCCAGAACACCCAUUAAACUGAAAGGGAAACUGAGGCCCAGAGAAGAGUAGUGACUUAACCAGGGUCACAUGGCAUGUUCCUGGAGAGUGAUGAGCCAGAGCCCAAUGAUGUAGGCUUCCGAACCAGAGGUCAAUCCUGUGUUCCUUAACCUUGAGAAUAGCUGGCACAGUGUGUCAGCCUCUGGCCCUUGCCCUGUACCCAACAGCGGAGCCAGACAUCUCCUCUUCCAGCACGGCGUCUGCUUCUUCUUCCCCAGGACAGUCCAGACCUAGAUGGGCUUUCCGGACCGCUAAUCACUCUAGACAAGCUUCUGGAUCCCAUGGACUCUAUGGCCAACCAACUAGGUUGCUACUUGCAAAUGUCUGCUUCCAUCGAAGGCUUCCUACAGGUCACCAGCUCUCUGGAAUUUUCUGGGACCAAACCUUUUCCAGACUGCUUACAAGCACCAGCUAGUUUCUGGAUGGACGUAUGGCUUGCAGGUUCUGGCAGAGCUCCCCAGAGCUAUGUGGACCCAGCUUUUUGGAUUCCCCUGCCCAAUCCUAAUGAUGCCUGCACUCUCCCUGUAACAAUCACAAGGGUGUUUGACCAGAACUCACUGAAGACUUCUGUGAAGUACUUGACCAUGCCCAAGGUGAUGUAUAGAUUCCUGACGUCUCUGGGCCCCUACUCUGGACCAGGGCUGGGGACCCAAAGGUGGAUCCAACCCAGCCUGGCUGUGAGCACCAAGCCUGGCAAAGGAGAGAGGUUCCUGCUCUGGAGAAGUUAGCCCUGGAAUCUUGAAUGGCUCUUCCUAGGGGUAUCCAUUGCCAAAGCCAAGCCUUUAAAUGAACACAAGUGGAGACUGAGGCAUCCCUCCAGGAGACAUUAUUUGCCAAGCUCACACAGCAAGUCAGUGCAUUGUUGAGACUGGUUCCCAGAACACCACCUCCUGGCCUGGGCUCUUUCUCUGCCUCUUGGUCCCAGAGGCCAGCCUUUACAAGGCACACAAAGGUCACUGCACUGUGAGCCAGGAACCUGGUUCAGGGUCUGCUUCUACUAAACGAUGGCUGUGUCACUUGGAUCACUCAAUUCUCUGUACUAGGUCUCAGUCACCCAAGGCGGAUGACUAAGGGGCCCCCCACUCCAACUGUGAGUCUGGGAUUCUCUGAAAUGUGGUAUUUUUCCAGGCUGUGGAGUUCCUCUAUGGCAGUCUGUGGGACACUGCUGGGGUGUUUUCCUCCAGGCUGAAGCUAAGGAGGAGUAUAAAGAGACAGUACUUGCUUCAGCCGCGGGCUGUGCAGACCUCUCCGAGGAUGACCUGGGGUCUGUCUUACACACCUUGGAGCCCUGCGGAUCUCUCCAAUGGUAAGUCCCCUCACGCACUUGGCACAGAACUGUGAGAAUGGCCUCUGAUGGUGCUUGCUUCCAUCAAUGUUCACCCAGGCCAGGUCUCCAAGGCCCAAGGUGGCCCUGCUUGUCCAGGGCUAAGGACUUCAUCCUCCGGGAGACUUCAAGCCCACCCAGAACCUAGUACUAGGCACGUGGGCUCUUCCUACCUCACACUGGGCCUCAGAGAGGCAACAUUCAACCUCCAAAGCCUGAGAGGCACUGGCCAGCUGGGUCCUGGACCCAGAGAUGCUCAAAAUGCCAGAGAGGGGAGGUCCCUUCCAGGCCAAGUGGUCCAACCCACUACCACUGACAUUUUGCAAUCAGGGAAACUGAGCCCAGAGAGGGGAAGGAGCUUGCAUAACACCCAAGUAGGCUGGUGGCAGGGUUACAACCAGAAUCUUUGUCUCCUGCCCAGGGCUCUCCCCUGCAUCAAACACAAUCCACUGAGAUCUAGGCUGAGCCCACCUCCAAUCCUCCAGAACCUUGACAAUCCUUGACAGAAGGCUCCUUCAGCUCAUCCCCUGUCUAUUCUAGGUGAUUCGAGAGAUUUCCCUUCAGCUGGAUGGUCCUUUAUCCUAAAGCUUCCUGGUGUUCCCUCCCCAUCUGCUCAGGGUUAAUCUUUUCCUGCUUCUAGGAUCUGCUCCAUCAACAGGCCAUAACUGCCGCUCCUGUUUUCUUGCUGUGGUCCAACCAACUCCUUGCAGCUCUAGCAUUUCCAAGGAUGGGGAGUCUCUGGUUGCGCCUAGGGUUUCCCUUCUGUCACUGGCCAGUCCCAGGUCUACUGCUUUCCCAUGACCACCUCAGCCUUGAACCCCAUCAGUCUCUCCUGGGAUGCUGCGGACCAUUCCUUGCAGACUCCCUCUCUGCUGGACCCAGGGCCAGUGGGAAUGAUAAGAGCUCACGUGUGGGGUUGCCAUGAAGUUUUAGUGAGUUAAUGCCCGCAUUAGGUAUAUAAGGUGCAUCUGUGAACUCUCAUGUUGCAAGGUAUGUUCAGGUGAUAAGAAGGAGAUCCUUGAAGCUAGCGCCUAUGGUGGCCUAGGCACCUGGGGGCAGAAGAGGGAAGGUGGCCGGGAGGAAUCUGGGGUAGUUGGGAGUGAUAGAAACCAGGAGUGUUUUAAGUUGGGGAAGAAGUUGGUUAGGUUGGCUUCUAGAAAAACGGCAAGGGGAGCUGAGUUGCCUCCCUGCCUAGACUUGCUGAGUACCGUGGGAGCCGGUGGUACCCGGGAAGGACCACACUGGGCCCAGGGCCAGAGCCCUCAGGAUGAUUUUGUGUGUGUCCCUCAACCUUCCCAGCCCCCCGUGUCCUUUUCUUUGGAACCGCUGCAGCCCCUAGCCCAGCCCAGCCCAUCUGGUGCUCUCGGACCAAGCUGGGCCAAGGCUACAAAAAGCCAGUGGGUGCCUGGGUCCUGUCAUUCCACAAUGACAGAGCCUGUGCUGUCUCCCAAAGCAGCCCAUGCCAUCUCCUCAGAGGCUUGUUCAAAAUUAUAUUUUUCAUAAAGGUGAAGUAAUGGUGGCCGACAGUCUGUCAUUCAACGUUGAUCGUGCUCCCUUCAUGCGGCGGGCAUUGUUCCAGGUGCUUUAAUGAUUUAACUCAUUUAACUUUCCAUCAAGCCUUUGAUGCAGGAGCUAUUAUUCUCCCCACAUCCCUGUUUAACAGAUGGGUAAACUGAAGCAUGAGAGGUUAAGCCAUUUCCCCAAUGUGAAGGAGCCAGGACUCCACAUGGAAGUCUCACCCCAGAGCCCCUCGCUGGACGCCCACCCUCUCCUGCCUCUCUGAGCCCCAGGAUCCCUCCCGCUCACCUGCAUUCCCACAAAGAAGUUACUGGCUUUCCCCACACACCCGUCUGCUCUCCCCCAUGGGCCCCCUCUUGGUCCUGCCCGUACACAGGAGCCAAGCCUCCUGGUCAAGGUGGGGGCUCAGCUGCCCUUAGCAGAGGCUGCCCCCUCUUCACCCGCACUCCACACACCUGUCAACACAGCCUCAGGCUGUGAGGGCUUCUCACAUGAUGCAGCUCCCCGUCCCUGUAAGGGGUCUCAUUUCCGCACUGCUCUGUCUACCCCACCCCACACAGCACAGCACAGCUCGACCAGCCAGUCACUAGACAUCCAGCAACUCGGCUCAAUUACACCUCCUUAGGGAGACCACCCUGGACUCCCCGGGCUCAGUCAGUCCUCGUUUGGCUCUUCCUACACACCUUGCCUCGCUUCUCUGCAGCAACCAUUUCACAUCCAUGGCUUAAGUGGCUUGAUGGUGUUUCUCGCUUUCUCACCAGCCUGGAUGCUCCGUGAAGUUAACGCCAGGCCUGUGUUCCCACACAUUGCAUCACCAGUGCCUAGCACAGAGCCUGGCACAAACUCAGUGCUCGGAUGUGUGUGCAUGAAUGAAAUACAUCUCUGAGGCCCUGCUCUGAGCCGGGUCCUCGGCUAGACACCGAGAAUGUGGAGACCAGACAGAGAUGCUGGUGAGGAGACAGCCAAGCAAACCAGCAAUGACAACAUAGGAUGAGGAAAUGCAGGAAGCUGUGGGGGCACUGAGAAAGGGUCCCAGACCCAACUAGAAGGACAGUAGGGCCAGGAGGAAUUCACCGGUGGGAGGGAGUGGGGGGGGGAGGGGGGGAGGACUCUGAAACUGGGCCGAACUAGUAAAUGAAGGGUGGAGGGUCUGUCUCCUCCUCCAGACCUCCUUGUCCCAAGGGCAAGGCCAGUGUCCUGAACUCCUGUCUACCACUUGAGGCUUACAGGAGUGUUGGGUCUCUGCUGUGCAUUCAUAGAGCAUUUUAGGUGAUUGAUUUUCCUCCCCUCCUUGGAACACGGCUGGUCUGACGCGCUCUUCAUUGUAUUAGUUGUGCCCUCUUCUCCCAGCCCUGCCUCCAGGUCCUUGCCCAAAGCAGCCUCACCUUUUCCCACCUGGCUACGCUCUCCCCUCCCCACCCACUCCACGGCUCCGUGUCCCUCACCUUCACGGUUCAGCCCACUCACCCAGCUCUGACCGUCUCAACGUGUGGGUGCCGGCAUGUACCCUCUUCACAUGAGAUUUGUUGAUUUCAUAACCAUAAAUAGAUAAAAUGUUCUGAAUAUCUCCCUGUGCAAGUAGAUUGGGGGAGUGAUCACAUAAUGAAAAGGCCUUGGGAGAAAGAAAACAGGCUGCUAAAGAAGCAGCUGAAGACUAGACAGCCACUGCACAGACCAGCUCUAUACAGCGAUUAAACUUCCACUCCACAGACUGGUGAACCCUAGGCCUGGGACUGGGGUGAUACUUGGGAAUCUGUUAGAGAACUUUUGUGUGGUUUCAAGCUCAUGGAUUCAAAAGAACAAUCUGGUAAAAAAAAUAAUAAUAAUAAUAAAAUGGAAAGAAAUAGAAAUCGGGGACCCUGGUUGCUGAUUCUGGAAUUAUUUCAUUCUAGCUGUGUGACCCUGGACAACUUAAUAAACCUCUCUGAGAAGGUGCAUAGAGAUUCUUCCCCGUGGUUAGACUGGAGGCUCCGGGAGGCCCGGGUCCUCAUAAUACCAUGACUCUCUUCCCAUCAGGGCUUUCUGUCUUAAUCACCAAAUAUGGGACACCCCCUUCCCAAAACGCAGUCUUGAGACUAGGGUUGAGGUAAGGAUGGAAUGGAGUACCCUGAUUUUUUGUUGCCAACUCCAACUUUGUUGCCAUGGCAGCAGGAUGUGGAGCAUCACUCCUGCAUGGGGAGGCUCCAUCUAUCUAGCUACAAAGCCUAGCUUCUAGCCUAGUAAGGAGCCCAGCCCAUGAGGCUCCCCAAUCUCUCCUCCCCUAGUAGUGCAGAGACACUACUAGUGCUUCUUGGCAUUUGGAAGGAUAAAGGAAGAUAAACUGACAGCUUGGUAUGCCCUGGGCCCGGAGAGCUUCUGGCUGAGAAAGAGAGAGACAAGUGGAGAUAUUCCUUGUGUGAAGUCAUCCUACCCUAAAGGUUGGAAAACUUGCUCUGCAGAGGGUCAGUCUGUAAAUAUAUUAGGUUUUCAAGCCAUUUCGUCUCUGUUGUGACUGCUCAACUCUGCCAUUGUAGGGUGAAAACAGCCAUAGACAAUACAUAAACAAAUAGAUGUAGUUGUGUGUCAAUAAAACUUUAUUUACAAAAACACUCAGUGGGCCAGAUUUGGAAUGCUGGCCAGAGUUUGCAGACCCCUGCUGUACCCCAUAGUGCAAGAGAAAGAGCCUGGGCUGGGGGCAGGGAACUAGGCUUAAGACCCAGAACCACCAAUGACUUGCUGUGUGAAUUUGGGUAAGUCAGUAUCUAUCUCUGAUCCUCAGUUUCACCAUCUAUCAAAUUGCUAUAACAGUAUCAGCCAGAUUUGCCAUGAGAAUAGGUCUAACAGGUCAGAGCAAAUCUCAAGUCUUUCCAUCACUUCAAGUAGAGCUAACUCCCCUCCCAAGGCCAUACCCUUGCCUGCUAAGGGUGGCAGCAGCCUGCUGGAAGGAAGAGGUGUUUCUCUCUAGAGUCAGAUCCUUAGUCUGGCUUUCCAACCUCCAUCCUCAAGUGACCCCAUUUCUGUAGCAAGCCAAGCACAGGAGGAAACGAGGAAUCCCUUCUUUUCCACCAUCCAGUCAUUUGGCAGGAGGCUACAGUUCACUUGAGAAAGUGAUGUGGCUGCAGUGGCUCGUGGCCAGGCUUUAGAGGAGGCUUUUGAGAAUCAAGAGUUAGGAAAGGUGAGAUUCAGUGCUCCCCAGAUCAUUUAUCUAUGUAUCAGGGAAGCUGGGGUGCAUGGCAAGAAGACACAGUCGCGAUCUGGUGGUGACUCACAGCACCAUCAAUUGCAUUAAUGGAUGUUUCUUGAGCCAUCUUGUCUGCCUGUCUGGUCUGACCACCACUGAGAUCUCGUGUCCUUUGGCAUCUUGUCAUAUGCUCUGAAGACCCAUAAAGUGAUUCUCUAUCCCCCCCACACACACUCUCUCUCCUUCUCUCUCUCUCUCCCCUCCUCCCUUUCCUCUCUCUUUCUCCUUCUUGUAUCAUAAACACAUUUAUCCAGGGCAGGACAGAAUACACUGCAACAGUCCUCUGUCAAGAAAGAUCCUUGCCCCAAAUAUCCAGAAAAGCAGCCCUAACCAGGAGUCUCCAUACUGUUCUAGAGAAGCAGACACCCCCCCCCCUUCCCAUCACUUUCCAUCUCCCUCUCAGGAGGCCAUCCUCCCCAAAAUCUCUGGAAAAGAUACACCUUCUCUUUGAGAGUGGGUAAGGGGUGAUGUCUCUCCAGGUCCCCAAUAAAGCUAUGCAAGACAGGAGCAAGGGAUCUCACGGCCUGUUCUUGCUAUAAAAAGACCUUUUUCAGAAAAAAAUAAUAAAGAAAGAAAUCAGCCAAUCCGUCCUCAAUGCCA
Molecule: long non-coding RNA, 7071 nt
Filed under: Lynx pardinus (Iberian lynx)
Lineage: Eukaryota; Metazoa; Chordata; Mammalia; Carnivora; Felidae
Source: RNAcentral